RNAcentral lists this long non-coding RNA (3060 nucleotides) under Ananas comosus (pineapple). Its description in RNAcentral is "long non-coding RNA (ACOM_LNC014051)". Lineage: Eukaryota; Viridiplantae; Streptophyta; Magnoliopsida; Poales; Bromeliaceae. The record is from RNAcentral.
UAAUAGGAUGACUAAAAGUAUUCUAACUUAAUUUUAUAUAUAUUUAUAUAGAGAGAGAGAGAGUGAGGCUACUAUGCUUUUGGAAGCACAGAGCCUUCCGUGCUUCCAGGUCAUUUUCGAUGUUGUGACUUUCGAAUUGUCGAUCAGUUCCGUUAAACUUGAUCUAGAGUAUUUGAAGUACCUAGAAAAUAAAUUUUAUGAUUUUUCGAUAUCAUUUGCCUAGUGAUCGAAGGGGCUCAAAAUCAAUAAUUUUAAUGGUCGUAGUGAGCCGUUUGCAAGUUUAACGGUGUAGAAAUAUCCAAAUCACGUGAAAUUUUGAUAAAAAAUUCUUUAUAUUAUAUAAAAUAAGAUUAAUAUCUUUGAUUUAAAAUUUUAAUGUCAUAUUAUUACGUUUUAUAAGAUUUUUAUUUUCAGCCGUUGCUUUUGAGCCCCUUCGUUCACUAGGCAAAUAAUAUCAAAAAAUUGCAUGAUUUAUUUUUUAGGUACUUUAAAUACUUUAAAUCAAGUUUAACGGAGCCGAUCGACAAUUCGAAAGUCACAACAUGAAAAACGAUCUGGAAGCACGGAAGGCUUCGUGCUUCCAGAAGCAUAGUAGGCUCACUNCUAUAUAUAUAUAUAUAUAUAUAUAUAUAUAUAUAUAUAUGCUAGGGCUACUAUACUCUUAUAAGUAUCGAGCUCUUCAUACUUAUAAGUUAAAUAUAGAGCUCUUCAUAUUUAUAAAUUAUUUUCAAUGAUGAAUCUUCUGAAUCGACGAUCCAUUCCGUUAAAUAUAAUCUAGAGUAUUUGAAAUUUAUAGAAAAUAAAUUUCGUAAUUUUUUAAAAUUAUAAUAAAGUUCAUCAAGCGGGUAUAAAAUGAACGGUCAAAAUCGAACGACGUCUUAAAAAUGGAUGAUCAGAUCCUUCAAUUUAAGAUCGGAGUUAUUGAUCUUUAUCUAUGUAAUGAAUAGAAUUUUCUAUCAAAACUUCAACUGAUUCCGAUUCUUUUAUAUCGUUAAACUAGCAAAUAUUUUAUAUUGGUCGUUAAAAAUUAUAAAUUUUGUGACAUUUUGAUCGUAAGGUAAAUGAUGUCAAAAAAUUAUAAAAUUUGAUUUCUAAACGUUUUAAAUGUUCGAGAUAACGUUUAACGGUGUAGAUCGUUAAUUCGGACUAUAUAUAUACAUAAGGGUUAUCAAAAGUAUGGAGGCUUCUGUGUUCCUAAGACAAACUUUCGAAUCGACGAUGAACUCCGUUAGAUUUGAUCUAACAUAUUCGAAGUAUGUCAAAAUAAACAUUGUAAUUUUUCGAUAUUAUUUAUUUAACAAUCGAAAGGGUUCAAAAUCAAUGGCUGAAUAUAAAAAUCUCACAAAAAGUGGUUAUAUAGCAUUAAAAUUUUCAAUCGAAAAUAUUGAUCUUGUUGUAAAUAGUAUAAAAAAAUUUCUAUCAAAAUUUUAUCUGAUUUGAAUACUUUUGUACUGUUAAACUUUCAAACGGUAUACAUCAACUAUUAAAAAUUGUUGAUUUUGAUCCUUUCAAUCGUUAGGUAAAUAAUAUCAAAAAAUCACAAAAUUUAUUUUUCUAGAUACUUUAAAUACGCUAGAUUAAGUCUAACGAACCCGAUCGUCAAUCAGAAAGUUCCAUCGAAGGACUACGUGUUUCUAAUAACACACAAGACUUACUCUCUGUAUAUAAAGAGAGAGAGAGAGAGAGGAGCAAAUAAAUUUCAUUAAAUUUGGUUAAACUAACAAUAAAUGAAUUUAAUAACUUUAUCUGCCAAUAAUAGAUAUGUUAACAGCAUCAUCCUCUUAUUAUAGUAGGUCUUAUUAUACUAGGUUAAAAAGUAUAGAGUACAUAUGCUCAAAUUUCUACAGGGUCUAUUAAUUAUUUAAGGAUUCUGACUAGUCAGAUUAAUGGCAUAUUAAUAUUAAUAUACUUGAAACUUAAUGAUUAGGAGUUCAAUCUCAAAUCACUCACUUACUAUAUAUAGGUAUGACUACCAACUUUUUUUUUUUCUUUUCUUUUUUUUUUUUUUUUUUUUUUGAAAGGGGAGCAUUCGUCCAAAUAACGAUUAGUACUUAUUGUAGGACAAGACGGUGGAUCACCGAUGACGCCUUUUAUUUUACCAGCUACUCCUAAAUUAGGUUAUAACUAUUUCUAAUGCUAAGCGAAAAUAGAAGUAUGAAAUGAGAUGUUCUGGUAUCUUCUCUCCUAGUUUUUACUCCUUUUUAUAGCCUCUAAGUUCAAAUACCGUGUAACUAUAAUUGAAGCAAUUAUCACGAGAUUAUUAUACUUCGUUUACUAACUUACUCCCUGAAAUCGUGCCCGCUUUCGGAUUCUUUGGCACCCUUGUUUGAAUUUUAAAUUUUGAACAUGUCUCCGUCCUAAUUUUUCAGGGUAUGUUAAACUUUAAUUUCUCGACAUACUUUAUUUUCUCAAAAUCAAAUACCUUCGCUGAAAUUUUUUUUUGGGGGAUCUCUAUGCAUCCUCUUUGGAUUAUUGAAAUCAAAUACCUUCGCAGAAAUUUCUCCUUCGGGGAUACCUACGCAUCCUCUUUGGAUUCACCUCAUAUGCUUCGGCGUCGAAAAUAAGUAUCCACAGUACUAUCACAAAAGAAUUUUGAAUUUUACUAUUUUUAAAAAUAGGACGAAUUUAUAUGAGAUCUUAGCCCCUUGGACUUAUAUAAUCGCAAUUUUGAAGUUUGAUAAUAAACCUUUCCCGUUGGACAAGUUCUCUCUCAUUAAAAGCGGCGAGUUUCAUCUUUUCCGUAUUCGUCCAUGAGCUAUUUCUGAAGAAAUAAAAAAAUAAAUUUCAAAAAAUGGCACUUUUUAGGCUUUUUUUGGGAUUGCGGGGAGACUGCAUUACGUGCGGUAAAAAAGUACGUUGGAAAAAUACUCUGUUGGUUUCCGUACGUAAUAUUGCGUUCCGCAUAUCACAAUAAGUCAGUUGCAAUAUAUUUUCUGUUGUCCCACCGGACAACGCAGAAACAUAUCUCUAUAUAUUUUUUCCUCAACUCCAUUUUAUCUAAUAGCGUUAGAUAUCUCUCAAUGCCAAACUAAUUAAGCCUUAGUAGUAUAAUAUAUUAAA